This is a long non-coding RNA of Cyanistes caeruleus (blue tit), 870 nucleotides long. RefSeq lists it as uncharacterized. The record is from RefSeq and is a predicted model, not a curated record. Lineage: Eukaryota; Metazoa; Chordata; Aves; Passeriformes; Paridae.
UGUCUGAAGAAAUCUCACCAUGACACACCUGAACAUUUUCAGCCCUGGGUAACAAAUCUGAAGUAGAAGUUGUCACAUAUUUCUCUCCCUGUGGGAAUCACAGGUCAUGUGGCUUUUACUGGUUAGGGCUCAGUUAUUUUUAUUUUAGGGAUCAGAGGAUGAAGACACCUUAGAUAUUCAACCAUGUAUUUUAUCCAGAAUGUUUUUCCAUUGGUUUCCCUUUCCUACAGAUCAUUCCAGGAGAUUUAUACCUCAAUGUGAAACAGGUUAUUCCUCUCAGAGAUGUUUUCAGUUUACAGUGACUUCAGAAGAUAACAAAGCUGUUUGGUUUUUUUAGGAUAUCAAGCUUAAUUAUCAUCCUUGUUGCUUUCAGGUCACAUCCUCAGGGGUCACCUCUUCCAGGAGGUUGCUCCAACACCUGUGACAGCAGCAAACUGGGAUCUGCCCUGCACUGGUGCUCACUGAUUCAUUCCCUGGAGUUGUGCCUACAGACUGCAAGACCCUGGAUCUGAGGGCCUCGUAUGAAAACGAAACACCGCAGGGGCACCGUGAAACACCAGUUAGCACCUUUAUAAAACCCUGCUCCCGAGGUUAACUGCACUACAGCCCUGGCAGAUCACAGAACUAGGAAUCCAGCUCGGAGACGGCGCACGCGGGGAGAGUUUUUACGGGAACCUGCUUCUGCCGGGGGGUGCUCUUGCUUUCACACAGCUGCUCUUAUUCCUUUCAAUCUGCACCAGUCUGUCUGAAGAGGAAAUACAAAGGUCUGCGCUGAAAUUUGCUCUGUGAUCAAGCGAUCCAAGUGAUGUUUCGUCCUUACGCUGCGUCGGGUCUUUGGCACGGCGAGAUGCCUUUGCCUGUUUAGGAAAA